Molecule: long non-coding RNA, 1369 nt
Organism: Cervus elaphus (red deer)
Lineage: Eukaryota; Metazoa; Chordata; Mammalia; Artiodactyla; Cervidae
Exons: 2
Source: RefSeq, a predicted model, not a curated record
AUAAACUAUCUUUUCAGCAGCAGUCAUCUUCUGAUCUGCUGGCUUUACCAUACCUGAAUAAUAAUAAAACCUACAUUUUAAAACAGGAGGGGGAAGGAUAGAGGGAAGGAAGGGAGGAGAGAAGGAAGGAUGGAAGGAGGAAGGGAGGAAGGGGAGGAAGAAAUUAACCUGUUAAUUUCAAGUUUCUGUAGGAAUGAUCUGAUCCAAAACUUUGCUCUAUGCUUUGAAAGAAGCAGCUUCCUCCUAGCAGAUUCUGGAUGUGUUUGAAAGAAUGAUCCUCCACAGUGCCAUAGGCCAGCAGUUACAACACUCUACCUUUGGGGACACACAGGCUUGGCUUUGAAUCAUGACACUGCCUUUCACUGGCUAUGAGACCUCAGCAAGGUUCCACCUAACAUUUCCCUGGGAAGACAUUUAAACGGAGUUUGGAAGCCACCUUGGAGCCCAUCCCCCACCUCGCGAAAUAACAGAUGGAGAAAGUGAGGCCCCACAAGGGUAAGCAGUUUGUCCAUGUCACCACGUACAUGAACGGCGGCCUCUGAACUGCCGCCAGGGUCCCCAGUUCCAAGCCAGCUCGCGCUCCUUUCCAGCACAUUCUGGCCGACCUCUCGAUGGCCCAGCACAGCCUGGGUGGGGGAAGCAGGAAGCCGCCGGGCUCAGAUGGGACGGCCGCCGCUCCCCGGCCAGGGUGGACAGGCCUCUCUCGGAAGCCAAGCUGUUUCCUCGCAGAGACAAGAGACAGACAAUGAGCGUGGUUAGCAGCUUGGGAGGGAGGGGCGGCCCACUUCAGAGAUGAUUAUCAUGUGGGGACUUGGCUGGAGGAAGGAGCGAGCUGCUUUUUAUAGGAACUCCAGUUCCUCGUUUUGUUCCCCUCGGGUGAUUCUCCAAAGAAAGCCGACUCGAGUCAGCUGGCAGCGGCAGGGCGAGGCCGAGGCGGCCCGGCUGCGAUGGCCCUGGUUCAGCACUUGCCCCAGCUGGUCACGUCCUCACCGGGGCGGCCCGCACUCUGCCAGGAGCCCAGGUCAGCCCCCAUCCAAAAUCAACAAGUCUUUUGUGCUUCUCCUUUAGACACGGUGUAAUUACAGCAAACAUGCAUUGGCGGUGAGCAGCAAUCAUGAGACAACUGUUGAGGAUUUCAGAUGCGCUUGGCGGCGGCUCCUGGAGCGCAGUGCGAGGAACCGCAGCUCCAGUUGGCCCGUGCUGGCCCGAAAACAAGGGAUUUGCAGAAGUCGGGAGCGGUGUGUUGGCACGGUGUCCACGCCAUGUCGUUCAUCAACUAUUUCCUUGAUAGCGGGUUGCGUCUUACCACCAAGCCAACCGACUGACUCAUGAGUCAGUGACUUAAAAAAUAAAUAAAUACUUGAGGCCA